RNAcentral lists this ribosomal RNA (459 nucleotides) under uncultured Alphaproteobacteria bacterium. RNAcentral's name for it is "bacterial SSU rRNA". It matches the Rfam family "Bacterial small subunit ribosomal RNA", at positions 30 to 535 of the family's 1533-position model. The record is from RNAcentral. Lineage: Bacteria; Pseudomonadati; Pseudomonadota; Alphaproteobacteria.
CGUACGCUGGCGGCACGCCUAACACAUGCAAGUCGAACGCAGUAGCAAUACUGAGUGGCAGACGGGUGAGUAACAUGUGGGAAUCUGCCUUGUGGUUCAGGACAACAUUGGGAAACUGAUGCUAAUACUGGAUAAGCCCUUACGGGGAAAGUUUUAAUGCCAUAAGAUGAGCCCGCAUUUGAUUAGUUAGUUGGUGAGGUAAUGGCUCACCAAGACAAUGAUCAAUAGCUGAUCUGAGAGGAUGAUCAGCCACACUGGGACUGAGACACGGCCCAGACUCCUACGGGAGGCAGCAGUGGGGAAUCUUGCACAAUGGAGGAAACUCUGAUGCAGCGAUGCCGCGUGAGUGAAGAAGGCCUUUGGGUUGUAAAGCUCUUUUGUAGGGGAAGAUAAUGACUGUACCCUAAGAAUAAGGUCCGGCUAACUUCGUGCCAGCAGCCGCGGUAAUCUGAUGGCGCG